AGUGAACGCUGGCGGUAGGCCUAACACAUGCAAGUCGAACGGCAGCACAGUAAGAGCUUGCUCUUACGGGUGGCGAGUGGCGGACGGGUGCGGAAUACAUCGGAAUCUACUUUUUCGUGGGGGAUAACGUAGGGAAACUUACGCUAAUACCGCAUACGACCUACGGGUGAAAGCAGGGGAUCUUCGGACCUUGCGCGAUUGAAUGAGCCGAUGUCGGAUUAGCUAGUUGGCGGGGUAAAGGCCCACCAAGGCGACGAUCCGUAGCUGGUCUGAGAGGAUGAUCAGCCACACUGGGACUGAGACACGGUCCAGACUCCUACGGGAGGCAGCAGUGGGGAAUAUUGGACAAUGGGCGCAAGCCUGAUCCAGCCAUACCGCGUGGGUGAAGAAGGCCUUCGGGUUGUAAAGCCCUUUUGUUGGGAAAGAAAAGCAGCAGGUUAAUACCCCGCUGUUCUGACGGUACCCAAAGAAUAAGCACCGGCUAACUUCGUG
Molecule: ribosomal RNA, 492 nt
Filed under: uncultured bacterium
Lineage: Bacteria
Description: partial 16S ribosomal RNA
Rfam family: Bacterial small subunit ribosomal RNA
Source: RNAcentral